Molecule: long non-coding RNA, 928 nt
Filed under: Papio anubis (olive baboon)
Lineage: Eukaryota; Metazoa; Chordata; Mammalia; Primates; Cercopithecidae
Description: lncRNA (ENSPANG00000041510.1)
Source: RNAcentral
GCGGGUGGUGUCACAGAUUCUGAUGGUGCCACAGAUUCUGAUGGUUUGCCUUAGAGAAAUGCUUCUUGCAGAGUUUUACCAGGGGUGUUUAGGAAGAAGUCACAUUAGUGCAGAGACUGUUUAAAAAUAAAAAUUGCCAUUAGUGUGUCAAAAGUAAUUAAAUGCUUUGUUCUGAAGCUUUUACAGUGAUUCUUAGGGCUUUUAGGCAAUUUUUUUUCCUCUAAUACCUCGUCUUAAUAGAAAACAUUGUUGGAAAAAAGAUUCUCUUAAAUUUGCCUCCUUCAGGAUGAGAGUUUGCCUGGCUUCCCAGACUUUCUCUAGGGGCGCAGGGUGGAGGUCUGGACAGGAAGGAGAACAGGUGAAAGACCACUCCCAGUGACUGGUGGCACCCAAACUGUAUUCUUCAUGUUCGUUUUAGAAGAGGCAACUGUCACCCUGCAACCCUCUAUUGUGGAUUAAAUUUGUGUCCCCUCAAAAGAUAGGUGGAAGUCCUGGCCUCCAAGAACCGUGAAUGUGACCUUAUUUGGAAACAGGAUCUUUGCAGAUGUAAUUGACAUGUAAGCUAAUAUGAGGUCAUAAUGGAGUAGGGUGGACCCUUAAUCUAAGAUGAUUCAUGUCCUUAUGAGAAAAGACCCAGGCAGAGAGGAGAAGGCCAUGUGGAGGCCCAGACAUAGAGGGAAGAGGAGGGAGGACAGAGGCAGAAUUUGGAGUGAUGCUGCCACAAGCCAAGGAGUGCCAGCUGUUACCACUAGAUGCUAAGAGACAAGGAAGGAGCUUCCCUUCAAUGCCUUCAGAGGGAUCUGUGCUGAACCUCUGGACCACUCGGCGUGUCAUGGGACUGCACCGCAGACUGCAGCAGGAGCUGGACCUCAGGCCGACUAAGCCGACCUCCUGGGUCUCUCCCUGUGCUCCACAGGAGACCAAGUGA